AUGCACUUUGAUAACGGCCAAAACACGUGAUGACUCCAAGUUGAUUUACACUACAAGUUGAAUGUGAAUUUUCAGCGUAACGUUUUAUUUGUCGUUGAUAUGUUACUAGUUAUUUUGUAUUAUCAUGACAACUUCAAUAGUCUUUUAUGAUACCGACUAAAAAACAACUAAAAGGACAUUUUACUGUGUAUUUUACACUUUUAUUGUAUUUUAGCAUGUGAUUUAGGUUUCUUUUUAAAUCAUCCAUAUUUAAAACAAUAGAAAUAACAGGACUUUAUCAUUAGCAGCAUAUAAUUACUAAAUUCUAUUACGUUGGGCGUACGUUAUGUUUUACAAAAUAGUUCCAUUUAAUAAAAAAAUAUUAGUUAAAAUUACUCAAAAAGAAGAACAUGUUACACCAACUUGACAUAUUUAAGUUAGUAGAACUUUCUCUAAAACUUUGAGUAUACACUACUUAAUCUAUUUGAUUAAUUUGGACGUUCGGGUUUACAGUGUGUGAUAGAUAUAUAGAUAUUUAUAUAUUUUUUUAGAACAAAGGACAAUGCGAGAAUCCCUGUCAAUGUUUUAGAAAUGUGUCAACAUCACGUUCGGGGCAUGUGAAGAACUAUCUUGAGUACUCUCAAAUUUAAAACCUUGCCUGUGGUCAUUUCUACAGUGUAAAAUCUGUAAAAAAAAAUUUAAAAAAAGAUGUCAUCCAGGAAAUCUGCUCUUCUAUUCGAGAUGAAUAAAGACAACGUGUGUGUAUAAUUUUACUCUCGAGCCAGAACACUUGGUUGUAAAAGGGGAAACUAUUUGGCUUCUGCCAUCAGUAUAAAAAAAAGACACAAAAAAACAUAAAAGCGGACUUUUUGUUUUUAUUCCAGAUUAAAUUCACACCUUGAAGUCACUUUUCUUGAUGUCAUCUGUAACAUUUCACUUCCCUCAGCACGCUCGAGCUCAAAGGUAGACUUGGUGCAGGACCAGGUGGGCGAUGAUGCAACGGAAAAAUCAGCAGGCGGCUGCAGCGCCACCUGUCGGCCGUCUGGUGGUACAACAAGUGCACCAAACCGGCUUUAAAGUGGUGGACAUUUUUAUUUUUUAGUAAACACAUUAUCUGUUAAUACUCCUGGAUUAUUUGAACAUUACAAAUGAUCAAAUCUUUACAGUUAAAUCCACAAACAAAAAGCAUAAGAAUAAGAGCAGGUAGCCUUUUGCAUUAAACACUUUGACGCUUUAACGUGGAACAUUUUGCACACCCGGCUAUCUUAAGUAAUUCAGAGCAUCGGAAUAGACGACGUUGAUGUGGCUUUGUUAUGUUUUCCUACCUGCAGCCGGGUUUUUAUUUGCCGAGGGGAACUUUCCCCCGCGAGUCAUCUGCUCUGCGGAUGAGACGGUCUGCUGGUGUUCGCCGCUCAGCUGCAUCCUGGAAAAUGGGACCGUGCAUCUUCAGUGAGGCAGAAACUGCUGAGCGUCUCCUCGGCUCAUCUAUUGGUUUCUGUUACGAUGGACCGGGUUGUACUUUGUCCAGGGAGAACAUAUUCAAACUGAAAACACCACAUUCCUGCCCCACCCACGCCCCAAAUUCCUUUGUUUUCUUACAGAAGUCUGCAGAAAAAAUAUAUUUUUAACAUUUCGCAUUUUCUUACAAAGCUACGAAUGUAAUUUCAGACAUUGAAAGGCAGAGACACCGUAAAAAAAAAAAAGAAGAGAAGGAAAUGUCCCAAAACACACAAACACAUUAUUUAUUAUCAGCAUAUCAUUUAUUUUCCAGACAUUUAAAUAUCAAGAUGAAUUUUAACUUUCAGACAUGAAGAGUUUAACUGGUGCAUCUGUGUGGUGAAUGGAUGGAGUGGGGGGGGGGGACAUUUAGAAACUAUUAAAUGUAAAGAUUUUGUGUUGUUUCAGGGUCAUGAUGACCUCUGCUUGCUCCUCAAAAUCAAAAAGUCCACAUGUCUCAAGUUGUCUAACAAAAAAUAAAAAUAAAUUAAUGAGAAAACAAACUG
Pseudoliparis swirei is the source of this 1982-nucleotide long non-coding RNA. RefSeq lists it as uncharacterized. The transcript is spliced from 2 exons. The record is from RefSeq and is a predicted model, not a curated record. Lineage: Eukaryota; Metazoa; Chordata; Actinopteri; Perciformes; Liparidae.